AUGGGCAGGUUGAAGGUUGGGUAACACUAACUGGAGGACCGAACCGACUAAUGUUGAAAAAUUAGCGGAUGACCUGUGGCUGGGGGUGAAAGGCCAAUCAAACCGGGAGAUAGCUGGUUCUCCCCGAAAGCUAUUUAGGUAGCGCCUCGUGAAUUCAUCUCCGGGGGUAGAGCACUGUUUCGGCUAGGGGGCCAUCCCGGCUUACCAACCCGAUGCAAACUGCGAAUACCGGAGAAUGUUAUCACGGGAGACACACGGCGGGUGCUAACGUCCGUCGUGAAGAGGGAAACAACCCAGACCGCCAGCUAAGGUCCCAAAGUCAUGGUUAAGUGGGAAACGAUGUGGGAAGGCCCAGACAGCCAGGAUGUUGGCUUAGAAGCAGCCAUCAUUUAAAGAAAGCGUAAUAGCUCACUGGUCGAGUCGGCCUGCGCGGAAGAUGUAACGGGGCUAAACCAU
Molecule: ribosomal RNA, 456 nt
Filed under: Salmonella enterica
Lineage: Bacteria; Pseudomonadati; Pseudomonadota; Gammaproteobacteria; Enterobacterales; Enterobacteriaceae
Also listed under: 4 other names
Description: partial 23S ribosomal RNA
Rfam family: Bacterial large subunit ribosomal RNA
Source: RNAcentral